UGUGGUGUGGACGAAGUGAUGGACUCUGGAAGUCUGGAGUGUUGUUGCGCGGAGCGGAUUAGAGCGACGGUUUGUUCAGGGAGGAUCAAAGGGAGGAACAGAGGGGUCGACUAGCUUUUCUAUCGUGCGAUUAGGCUCUCAAGCUUUAUUAGCUGAUCAAAUGCAGCGGAUCCCACCACAUGCGCUGCUGGCGCGCUGGGUGUGGCGUUCGAUGUCGAAGCCCCUGUAGCUGUAGGGGGUCGCUUCAUGGGGAAGGAUGUGUCGGUAGCGAGUAGCGACCGAAAGUGGAUUAUCUGCGGCGCGUGGCUCAAAGGUGCAAACAAAAACU
Molecule: long non-coding RNA, 328 nt
Filed under: Setaria viridis
Lineage: Eukaryota; Viridiplantae; Streptophyta; Magnoliopsida; Poales; Poaceae
Description: long non-coding RNA (SVIR_LNC007405)
Source: RNAcentral